UAUUAUUUAAUAAAAUAGUAAAGACCAUAGCUUUUAAUCUGGUGGUAGUGUUCUCUUCUACCAUGUCAGAUUCAGAAUGCGUCUCUCUAUUAAUAACCAGGCAUGUUCAAAUGUGGGUAGAAGUUUUUCUUGACUGUUUAAAAGCAUCUACUGUAAAAAAGUUCCAUAUUUCUGCCUUUUGUAUCUUGAAUAGCCUCAGUGCAUUAUACCUCUUGUAAAUGUCCGUGGAAUGGUUGCUUUUUUUCCAAACUUUUGUCAUAUAAAAGAGAACAUGCUCUGUGAGGCCAUUGCCCAAAAUGGUUGAAGCUCUGAUUUUGGAAAGCACUGGUUCUGCAGAUUAGUUCAUUGAAACGGUGCACUGUUGCGUAAGCGCUAAUGUAAACCUCCCCAGCCUGGAUUUCACUCUGCUGCAGUUCAUGAUUAAACUGUGCUGUCACAGCUGGAAGAAACCACAGGCUGUGUUUCUCAGUGUUUGUUCAGAGAAAGAAAAUAAAAUCUGUUCUAAUGUACACACGUCUGGGCACAUUGCUAAUGAGGGAGUGCCAAAUUUAAUUUGUUAGAAUAUUUUAACAUAAAACCAUAUUUGUAUAUUUGGAGUUAUGUGAACUCCAGACACUGUACAGGGUCUUUUGGAUUUUAUUUUCUUUCAGUUUAGCUCAUCUGGUUUACAUUAUUAAAGUACUACUUUAAACAAAUGAGCUGGAAACUAAUUCUAAUUCAGGAGUCGUGCUGCAAAGUGUAGCCUUUUUUUUUUUUUUUUUUUACUUUUACUGCAUUGUUGAUUAUCUGUCUCAUGCAGGAAAUACAUCCCAAAGCUGAAGGACUAUCCCAACAGAUACAUUUACGAGCCGUGGAACGCACCAGAGUCUGUUCAGAAGGCGGCCAACUGCGUGGUGGGCGUGGACUACCCCAAACCCAUGAUCAACCACGCCGAGAGCAGCCGCCUCAACAUCGAGAGGAUGAAGCAGGUCUACCAACAGCUCUCCCACUACAAAGGCCUUAGUCUGCUAGCAUCUGUGCCCACCAUACAGGAGGAGGCAGAGCCCCCUCUUUCGGACGAUUCUCAGGCCAGCAGCAGUGGUAAGAAUCGAACACUAUACUAGACAUCCUGAUUGGGAUUUAUAGAACUAGACAACACAAUACAAUGCAUAUAAACACAAUAAAUAAUCACACAAAUAUCCA
RNAcentral lists this long non-coding RNA (1182 nucleotides) under Astyanax mexicanus (Mexican tetra). RNAcentral describes it as "lncRNA (ENSAMXG00005010139.1)". Lineage: Eukaryota; Metazoa; Chordata; Actinopteri; Characiformes; Acestrorhamphidae. The record is from RNAcentral.